RNAcentral lists this ribosomal RNA (253 nucleotides) under uncultured bacterium. RNAcentral describes it as "partial 16S ribosomal RNA". It matches the Rfam family "Bacterial small subunit ribosomal RNA", at positions 524 to 776 of the family's 1533-position model. The record is from RNAcentral.
CACGGACCGCACGAACGUUAUUCGGUAUCACUGGGCUUAAAGGGUGCGUAGGCGGCUUUGCAAGUUGGGUGUGAAAGCCCCCGGCUCAACUGGGGAGGGUCAUUCGAUACUGAUCGACUCGAAGGCAGGAGAGGGUAGUGGAAUUCCCGGUGUAGUGGUGAAAUGCGUAGAUAUCGGGAGGAACACCAGUGGCGAAGGCGGCUGACUGGACACAUAUUGACGCUGAGGCUCGAAAGCAUGGGGAGCAAACAGG